AGUCAGAGCCCGUUAAUGGGUGAUGGCGUGCCUUUUGUAGAAUGAACCGGCGAGUUACGAUUUGAUGCAAGGUUAAGCAGUAAAUGUGGAGCCGUAGCGAAAGCGAGUCUGAAUAGGGCGUUUAGUAUUUGGUCGUAGACCCGAAACCAGGUGAUCUACCCUUGGUCAGGUUGAAGUUCAGGUAACACUGAAUGGAGGACCGAACCGACUUACGUUGAAAAGUGAGCGGAUGAACUGAGGGUAGCGGAGAAAUUCCAAUCGAACCUGGAGAUAGCUGGUUCUCUCCGAAAUAGCUUUAGGGCUAGCCUCAAGUGAUGAUUAUUGGAGGUAGAGCACUGUUUGGACGAGGGGCCCCUCUCGGGUUACCGAAUUCAGACAAACUCCGAAUGCCAAUUAAUUUAACUUGGGAGUCAGAACAUGGGUGAUAAGGUCCGUGUUCGAAAGGGAAACAGCCCAGACCACCAGCUAAGGUCCCAAAAUAUAUGUUAAGUGGAAAAGGAUGUGGCGUUGCCCAGACAACUAGGAUGUUGGCUUAGAAGCAGCCAUCAUUUAAAGAGUGCGUAAUAGCUCACUAGUCGAGUGACACUGCGCCGAAAAUGUACCGGGGCUAAACAUAUUACCGAAGCUGUGGAUUGUCCUUUGGACAAUGGUAGGAGAGCGUUCUAAGGGCGUUGAAGCAUGAUCGUAAGGACAUGUGGAGCGCUUAGAAGUGAGAAUGCCGGUGUGAGUAGCGAAAGACGGGUGAGAAUCCCGUCCACCGAUUGACUAAGGUUUCCAGAGGAAGGCUCGUCCGCUCUGGGUUAGUCGGGUCCUAAGCUGAGGCCGACAGGCGUAGGCGAUGGAUAACAGGUUGAUAUUCCUGUACCACCUAUAAUCGUUUUAAUCGAUGGGGGGACGCAGUAGGAUAGGCGAAGCGUGCGAUUGGAUUGCACGUCUAAGCAGUAAGGCUGAGUAUUAGGCAAAUCCGGUACUCGUUAAGGCUGAGCUGUGAUGGGGAGAAGACAUUGUGUCUUCGAGUCGUUGAUUUCACACUGCCGAGAAAAGCCUCUAGAUAGAAAAUAGGUGCCCGUACCGCAAACCGACACAGGUAGUCAAGAUGAGAAUUCUAAGGUGAGCGAGCGAACUCUCGUUAAGGAACUCGGCAAAAUGACCCCGUAACUUCGGGAGAAGGGGUGCUCUUUAGGGUUAACGCCCAGAAGAGCCGCAGUGAAUAGGCCCAAGCGACUGUUUAUCAAAAACACAGGUCUCUGCUAAACCGUAAGGUGAUGUAUAGGGGCUGACGCCUGCCCGGUGCUGGAAGGUUAAGAGGAGUGGUUAGCUUCUGCGAAGCUACGAAUCGAAGCCCCAGUAAACGGCGGCCGUAACUAUAACGGUCCUAAGGUAGCGAAAUUCCUUGUCGGGUAAGUUCCGACCCGCACGAAAGGCGUAACGAUUUGGGCACUGUCUCAACGAGAGACUCGGUGAAAUCAUAGUACCUGUGAAGAUGCAGGUUACCCGCGACAGGACGGAAAGACCCCGUGGAGCUUUACUGUAGCCUGAUAUUGAAAUUCGGCACAGCUUGUACAGGAUAGGUAGGAGCCUUUGAAACGUGAGCGCUAGCUUACGUGGAGGCGCUGGUGGGAUACUACCCUAGCUGUGUUGGCUUUCUAACCCGCACCACUUAUCGUGGUGGGAGACAGUGUCAGGCGGGCAGUUUGACUGGGGCGGUCGCCUCCUAAAAGGUAACGGAGGCGCUCAAAGGUUCCCUCAGAAUGGUUGGAAAUCAUUCAUAGAGUGUAAAGGCAUAAGGGAGCUUGACUGCGAGACCUACAAGUCGAGCAGGGUCGAAAGACGGACUUAGUGAUCCGGUGGUUCCGCAUGGAAGGGCCAUCGCUCAACGGAUAAAAGCUACCCCGGGGAUAACAGGCUUAUCUCCCCCAAGAGUUCACAUCGACGGGGAGGUUUGGCACCUCGAUGUCGGCUCAUCGCAUCCUGGGGCUGUAGUCGGUCCCAAGGGUUGGGCUGUUCGCCCAUUAAAGCGGUACGCGAGCUGGGUUCAGAACGUCGUGAGACAGUUCGGUCCCUAUCCGUCGUGGGCGUAGGAAAUUUGAGAGGAGCUGUCCUUAGUACGAGAGGACCGGGAUGGACAUACCUCUGGUGUACCAGUUGUCGUGCCAACGGCAUAGCUGGGUAGCUAUGUGUGGACGGGAUAAGUGCUGAAAGCAUCUAAGCAUGAAGCCCC
This 2221-nucleotide ribosomal RNA is filed under the name Staphylococcus aureus. Its description in RNAcentral is "partial 23S ribosomal RNA". It matches the Rfam family "Bacterial large subunit ribosomal RNA", at positions 572 to 2796 of the family's 2925-position model. Lineage: Bacteria; Bacillati; Bacillota; Bacilli; Caryophanales; Staphylococcaceae. The record is from RNAcentral.